Long non-coding RNA from Bubalus bubalis (water buffalo), 284 nucleotides. RefSeq lists it as uncharacterized. The transcript has 2 exons. The record is from RefSeq and is a predicted model, not a curated record. NCBI's taxonomy places the organism in Eukaryota, Metazoa, Chordata, Mammalia, Artiodactyla, Bovidae.
GGAGGAAGGAGCCCAGCUGAGAAGUGAUGCUCAGUGCGUGGGCGCUGUCCCAGGUGGCUACUGAUGAAUUAGACUCUCAAGGAAGGGAAACAGACAAAAGUAAUUUCAACUCCACUUCAGCAGGCUCAAGACACCAACACAUUUUGUUAUGUAGUCCCUGGAAUGAAGCUGAACUUUUCUGCCACCUACUGCUUCUCAAUGUGUAUGGAUGGCUUUCUUUGAGUUGUGCUCAAAAUAACAUCUGAUCUGAAAGCAGCACCAGGAAAUUCAAUCAUCUAUGAAAA